Halocaridina rubra (Hawaiian volcano shrimp) is the source of this 77-nucleotide non-coding RNA. NCBI's taxonomy places the organism in Eukaryota, Metazoa, Arthropoda, Malacostraca, Decapoda, Atyidae. The record is from the annotation of a GenBank genome assembly.
AACCUCGUGGUGUAGUGGCUAGCACACUCGGCUCACUACCGAGAAAUCUCAGGUUCUACUCCUGAUCGAGGAAGAUA